UUAGGAAUUUUAUUUUAUUUUUCAUAUUUUUUAAACAAUUAAAUUUUCUUUGAGAAAAAAUUUAUUUUUUUCUGUAUUCCUUAGUUAAAAAUACUAACAUAAUUUAAAACGAAUAUAAACUGUUGUGAUAUAUUUGGCGCUUUUCUUGAAGGGAAGAAAAAGAAGAGAUGUAAAGGGGAAAAUAGUGCGCAGAAAAGAAUUUAAGUUGAGUGUUGAGUGAAGUAAAGAAAGAUUUGAAAUAAAAAGGAAAAGAUGUAUAUCACUUUGUACAGAAAAUUGUAUACACUAGACUAAUAGACAGGAUAGUUUUCAAUAAAACGAAGGUGAAGGCAAGAAAAUAAAGUAAUAUGUAAAAAGGACAAAACGAGAGAAAAGAGAGAGAUAAAUAAAUAAAAGAAGAUGGGAGGAGCACGGGAAAUAAAAAGUUUGAAAGAUAGUUUGGAUAUAGAGACUUUAAAAGUAGUGUGUGACUUUAAAAGGCUUAAGCUUCAUUAGUAAAAUAAGUUGGAAUAUGAAGCUUGGAAUGAACUAGAAGAAUAGUGUAUAGAUGAGGUAAGGAAUAGGCUUAAAAAUACAUAAAGAUCAGGGAAACGAAGAUUAAGCUUCUGUGUGCGAAGCAAGAAGUAAACGAGAGAGGAAGAAAGGGAGAGAGAGAAACAAGUAGAGAGAGGGCGAAUUUCAGAGAGAUGGAGACUUAGAGAGAGGGUGAGGGAGGGAGUGAGAGAAAACUGAUGGCGAGAGUGCAGGUAGUGCGAGAAAACGGAAACAAUGGUAGAAAAGCUUGUAGUUGAGGCUAGGUACAGAACUGAGUUUAUAAAA
This is a long non-coding RNA of Rhagoletis zephyria (snowberry fruit fly), 819 nucleotides long. RefSeq lists it as uncharacterized. The record is from RefSeq and is a predicted model, not a curated record. NCBI's taxonomy places the organism in Eukaryota, Metazoa, Arthropoda, Insecta, Diptera, Tephritidae.